Molecule: ribosomal RNA, 492 nt
Filed under: uncultured bacterium
Lineage: Bacteria
Description: partial 16S ribosomal RNA
Rfam family: Bacterial small subunit ribosomal RNA
Source: RNAcentral
GGUGAACGCUGGCGGUAGGCCUAACACAUGCAAGUCGAACGGAAGCACAGUAAGCGCUUGCUCUUAAGGGUGGCGAGUGGCGGGUGGGUGAGGAAUAAAUCGGAAUCUACUUAUUCGUGGGGGAUAACGUAGGGAAAGUUCCGCUAAUACCGAAUAUGACCUACGGGUGAAAUCAGGGGUUCUUGGGAGCUUGCGCGAUUGAAUGAGCCGGUGUCGGAUUAGCUAGUUGGCGGGGUAAAGGACCACCAAGGCGACGAUACGUAGCCGAUCUGAGAGGAUGAUCGGCCACACUGGAACUGAGACACGGUCCAGACUCCUACGGGAGGCAGCAGUAGGGAAUAUUCCGCAAUGGGCGAAAGCCUGAUCCAGCCAUACCGCGUGGGUGAAGAAGGCCUUCGGGUUGUAAAACCCUGUUAUUAGGAAAGAAAAGCUGUGGAUUAAUAUACCGCUGUCUUGACGGUACCUAAUGAGAAAGCACCGGCUAACUUCGUG